Molecule: ribosomal RNA, 502 nt
Filed under: uncultured bacterium
Lineage: Bacteria
Description: partial 16S ribosomal RNA
Rfam family: Bacterial small subunit ribosomal RNA
Source: RNAcentral
AUUGAACGCUGGCGGCAGGCUUAACACAUGCAAGUCGAGCGGGGUGAUGGUGCUUGCACUAUCACUUAGCGGCGGACGGGUGAGUAAUGCUUAGGAGUCUGCCUAUUAGUGGGGGACAACAUCUCGAAAGGGAUGCUAAUACCGCAUACGUCCUACGGGAGAAAGCAGGGGAUCACUUGUGACCUUGCGCUAAUAGAUGAGCCUAAGUCGGAUUAGCUAGUUGGUGGGGUAAAGGCCUACCCAGGCGACGAUCUGUAGCGGGUCUGAGAGGAUGGACCGCCACACUGGGAAUGAGACAGGGCCAGCCUCCUACGGGAGGCAGCAGUGGGGAAGUUUGGACAAUGGGGGUAACCCUGUUCCAGCCAUGCCGCGUGUGUGAAGAAGGCCUUAUGUUUGUAAAGCACUUUAAGCGAGGAGGAGGCUCUUUUGGUUAAUACCCAAGAUGAGUGGACGUUACUCGCAGAAUAAGCACCGGCUAACUCUGUGCCAGCAGCCGCCGUAA